This 409-nucleotide ribosomal RNA is filed under the name Salmonella enterica subsp. enterica serovar Braenderup. Its description in RNAcentral is "partial 23S ribosomal RNA". It matches the Rfam family "Bacterial large subunit ribosomal RNA", at positions 1348 to 1757 of the family's 2925-position model. Lineage: Bacteria; Pseudomonadati; Pseudomonadota; Gammaproteobacteria; Enterobacterales; Enterobacteriaceae. The record is from RNAcentral.
AGGGUUCCUGUCCAACGUUAAUCGGGGCAGGGUGAGUCGACCCCUAAGGCGAGGCCGAAAGGCGUAGUCGAUGGGAAACGGGUUAAUAUUCCCGUACUUGGUGUUACUGCGAAGGGGGGACGGAGAAGGCUAUGUUGGCCGGGCGACGGUUGUCCCGGUUUAAGCGUGUAGGUGUGUGUUCCAGGUAAAUCCGGUUCACUUUAACACUGAGGCGUGACGACGAGGCACUACGGUGCUGAAGCAACAAAUGCCCUGCUUCCAGGAAAAGCCUCUAAGCAUCAGGUAACAUCAAAUCGUACCCCAAACCGACACAGGUGGUCAGGUAGAGAAUACCAAGGCGCUUGAGAGAACUCGGGUGAAGGAACUAGGCAAAAUGGUGCCGUAACUUCGGGAGAAGGCACGCUGACAC